This 571-nucleotide long non-coding RNA is filed under the name Physcomitrium patens. Its description in RNAcentral is "long non-coding RNA (PPAT_LNC007151)". The record is from RNAcentral. Lineage: Eukaryota; Viridiplantae; Streptophyta; Bryopsida; Funariales; Funariaceae.
GGAUUUGUUUAGGGUUUGGUUAAGAUUUGGUUAAGGUUUAUUAAAGAUUUUAUUAGGAUUUGGUAAGGAUUUAUUAAGGAUUUGGUUGGAAUUUGGUUAGGAUUUGGUAAGGAUUUAUUAAGGAUUUGGUUGAGAUUUGGUUAGGAUUUGGUAAGGAUUUAUUAAGGAUUUGGUUGAGAUUUGGUUAGGAUUUAGUUAGGAUUUAUUAAGGAUUUAUUUAGGAUUUGGUUAGGAUUUAUUUAAGAUUUGAUUAGGAUUUAUUUAGGAUUUGGUUAGAAUUUAUUUAAAAUUUGGUUAGGAUUUUUUAAGGAUUUAUUUAGGAUUUGAUUAGGAUUUGAUUAGGAUUUAUUUAGGAUUUGAUUAUAAUUUAGAUAAGAUUUGUUUAGGAUUUUAUUAGGGUUUGGUUAGGAUUUGACUAGGAUUUAUUUAGAAUUUGGUUAGGAUUUAAUUCGAAUUUGACUAGAAUUUGAUUAAUUUUUUACUGCGAUUUAAUUAAGGUUUUAUUUUAAUAUUUUAUUGAGGUUUUUAUUUUAAUAUUUUUCUGAAUUUUUAUAUUAUUUUUUAUGAUUCU